GGACCAGGUAGUUCUGUAACAGAGGGGAGAGGUCUCUAUGAACAACCAAGUAGUUCUGUAACAGAGAGGUCUCUAUGAACGACCAGGUAGUUCUGUAACAGAGGUCCAGCCAUCCGGGGAGAGCUGAGGGGGUUUCCUGACAGGGGCCUCCAAGCAGGAAGCAGCAUAGAUACAGUAGUGCACUAUAUAGGGAAUAGGGGUGCCAUUUGGGGUCAAUAGGAGAGCACUAUAUAGGGAAUAGGGUGCCAAUUUGGGGUCAAUAGUAGUGCACUACAUAGGGAAUAGGGUGCCAAUUGGGAUGCAUGCCUUUGUUUUCCAAUAACUACAGUAUUUUGAUUCAUAAGUGGGCUUAUUUGAUUUAUUUAACCAGGCAAAUCCUCAUUUACAAUGACGGCCGACCCCGGGCCAAACCCUGACGACGCUCGGCCAAUUGUGCGCCGCCCUAUGGAACUCCAAAAUCACGGCCGGUUGUGAUACAGCCUGGAAUCGAACCGGGGUGUGUAGUGACGCCCCUAGCACUGAGACGCAGUGCCUUAGACUGCUUUGCGCCGAUACCAAAACAUUCUCAUCUUGUUUGAGUUAGGGUAUUGCAAGUUUGACUAUCGCAAUAUCAUGGACCAUACCACAAUCUAAGAGACACUGCAAUGAAGCCACAAGCUCCAACAAGCCUCCAACUGAAAACAUCUGUGGGCAUCGUGUGUUGCUAUGGAGGUGAGGCAAUCCUCCACUGAGGCAAACAGAACAAUAACAGGUUGGUUUUUCCCUGUUCAGGUCCAAAUAAAAGUAUUUCCUUGGUAUUUUCUGCAUCCCUGUCUGUGUUAUUCAGUUGUUAUAAUUCUUGUUUUAAUUCUCUGAAAAAGUUUGUGUUCUUAACUCUUGACACAUCGAUCAGAAAUGGCUUUAACUCCCUAAUUGACAUGCCUG
Molecule: long non-coding RNA, 924 nt
Organism: Oncorhynchus tshawytscha (Chinook salmon)
Lineage: Eukaryota; Metazoa; Chordata; Actinopteri; Salmoniformes; Salmonidae
Source: Ensembl